RNAcentral lists this long non-coding RNA (578 nucleotides) under Homo sapiens (human). RNAcentral describes it as "non-protein coding lnc-SLC13A4-1:2". The record is from RNAcentral. Lineage: Eukaryota; Metazoa; Chordata; Mammalia; Primates; Hominidae.
AUUUCCAAGUAGUAUAGUUGCAGAUCUUCGAACGCCAUUCCUGUGUUCUGUGAAUUCAAGACAACAUGGGUUUUAUAACCCUUUGACUCUGCUCAGCAUCUCCCAGAUCAAGACGAAGGAGGACUCUCGGAAGCCAAGAAAGGUUUAAGAAGUCUUUCUGGAUAGAGAGCAGUGCCCAGGCAGGAAGCCUUUCGCCGGCAGAGCGGGGUCCAAGGACGAGCUGGAGAGGACAGAGGCGCGAUGGGCCUGCUGCAGGGCCUGCUCCGAGUCCGGAAGCUGCUGCUGGUCGUCUGCGUCCCGCUCCUGCUGCUGCCUCUGCCCGUCCUCCACCCCAGCAGCGAGGCCUCGUGUGCUUACGUGCUGAUCGUGACUGCUGUGUACUGGGUGUCGGAGGCAGUGCCUCUGGGAGCUGCAGCCCUGGUGCCGGCCUUCCUUUACCCGUUCUUCGGAGUCCUCCGGUCCAAUGAGGUGGCGGCGGAGUACUUCAAGAACACCACGCUGCUGCUGGUGGGGGUCAUCUGCGUGGCGGCUGCCGUGGAGAAGUGGAACCUGCAUAAGCGCAUUGCUCUGCGCAUGGU